UACGUAGGGGGCAAGCGUUGUCCGGAAUUAUUGGGCGUAAAGGGCUCGUAGGCGGUUUCUUAAGUCUGAUGUGAAAGCCCACAGCUCAACUGUGGAGGGUCAUUGGAAACUGGGGAACUUGAGUGCAGAAGAGGAGAGUGGAAUUCCACGUGUAGCGGUGAAAUGCGUAGAUAUGUGGAGGAACACCAGUGGCGAAGGCGACUCUCUGGUCUGUAACUGACGCUGAAGAGCGAAAGCGUGGGGAGCAAACAGG
Molecule: ribosomal RNA, 253 nt
Filed under: uncultured bacterium
Lineage: Bacteria
Description: partial 16S ribosomal RNA
Rfam family: Bacterial small subunit ribosomal RNA
Source: RNAcentral